Molecule: ribosomal RNA, 415 nt
Filed under: Proctoporus sp. KU212687
Lineage: Eukaryota; Metazoa; Chordata; Lepidosauria; Squamata; Gymnophthalmidae
Description: partial 12S ribosomal RNA
Rfam family: Bacterial small subunit ribosomal RNA
Source: RNAcentral
ACUAGGAUUAGAUACCCUACUAUGCUUAAGCACAACUAAGACUCAGUCCGCCAGAAAAUUACGAGCGAAAGCCUAAAACUCAAAAGACUUGACGGUGCCCCAACCUUCCUAGAGGAGCCUGUUCCAUAAUCGACACCCCACGAUACACCUAACCACUAUUAGUAACCCCAGCCUAUAUACCGCCGUCGCACAGCCCACCUUUUAAAGAACACAAGUGGGCCCAAUAGCAAUAUGCUAACAAGUCAGGUCAAGGUGUAGCUUAUAUGGUGGAGGAAAUGGGCUACAUUAUUUAUAAUAAAUAAGACGAACUUACUACACCAUGAAAAAGAAAAUGAAGGCGGAUUUAGCAGUAAUUUAAACGAGAAAUAUUUAAAUUAACACCAGCUCUGGGGCAUGUACACACCGCCUGCACCCU